RNAcentral lists this ribosomal RNA (497 nucleotides) under uncultured bacterium. RNAcentral describes it as "partial 16S ribosomal RNA". It matches the Rfam family "Bacterial small subunit ribosomal RNA", at positions 28 to 507 of the family's 1533-position model. The record is from RNAcentral.
GAUGAACGCUGGCGGCGUGCCUAAUACAUGCAAGUCGAGCGAACGGACGAGAAGCUUGCUUCUCUGAUGUUAGCGGCGGACGGGUGAGUAACACGUGGAUAACCUACCUAUAAGACUGGGAUAACUUCGGGAAACCGGAGCUAAUACCGGAUAAUAUUUUGAACCGCAUGGUUCAAAAGUGAAAGACGGUCUUGCUGUCCCUUAUAGAUGGAUCCGCGCUGCAUUAGCUAGUUGGUAAGGUAACGGCUUACCAAGGCAACGAUGCAUAGCCGACCUGAGAGGGUGAUCAGCCACACUGGAACUGAGACACGGUCCAGACUCCUACGGGAGGCAGCAGUAGGGAAUCUUCCGCAAUGGGCGAAAGCCUGACGGAGCAACGCCGCGUGAGUGAUGAAGGUCUUCGGAUCGUAAAACUCUGUUAUUAGGGAAGAACAGAUGUGUAAGUAACUGUGCACAUCUUGACGGUACCUAAUCGGAAAGCCACGGCUAACUACGUG